GAGGGUAUAGCUCAGUGGUAGAGUGCAUGCGUCACAUGCACGAGGCCCUGGGUUCAAUCCCCAAGUAACUCCA
RNAcentral lists this transfer RNA (73 nucleotides) under Camelus bactrianus (Bactrian camel). It matches the Rfam family "tRNA". Rfam says of the family: Transfer RNA (tRNA) molecules are approximately 80 nucleotides in length. Their secondary structure includes four short double-helical elements and three loops (D, anti-codon, and T loops). The record is from Rfam by way of RNAcentral. RNAcentral also lists the same sequence under 2 other names. Lineage: Eukaryota; Metazoa; Chordata; Mammalia; Artiodactyla; Camelidae.